This 322-nucleotide ribosomal RNA is filed under the name uncultured Lactobacillales bacterium. RNAcentral's name for it is "bacterial SSU rRNA". It matches the Rfam family "Bacterial small subunit ribosomal RNA", at positions 226 to 525 of the family's 1533-position model. Lineage: Bacteria; Bacillati; Bacillota; Bacilli; Lactobacillales. The record is from RNAcentral.
GGGACCUGCGGUGCAUUAGCUAGUUGGUAGGGGUACGGGCCUACCAAGGCGAUGAUGCAUAGCCCGAGUUGAGAGACUGAUCGGGCCACAUUGGGACUGAGACACGGGCCCAAACUCCUACGGGAGGCAGCAGUAGGGGGAAUCUUCCACAAUGGACGCAAAGUCUGAUGGAGCAAAACGCCGCGUGAGUGAAGAAGGGUUUCGGCUCGUAAAAGCUCUGUUGUUGGUGAAGAAGGACAGGGGUAGUAACUGACCCUUUGUUUGACGGUAAAUCAAUUUAGAAAGUCACGGGCUAACUACGUGCCCAGCAGCCGCGGUAAAU